AGAGUGGAGGGGUGGCAGGUAGCCUAGUGGUUAGAGUGGAGGGGAGGCAGGUAACCUAGUGGUUAGAGUGGAGGGGCGGCAGGUAGCCUAGUGGUUAGAGUGGAGGGGCGGCAGGUAGCCUAGUGGUUAGAGUGGAGGGGAGGCAGGUAGCCUAGUGGUUAGAGUGGAGGGGCGGCAGCUAGCCUAGUGGUUAGAGCGGAGUGGAGGGGCGGCAGGUAGCCUAGUGGUUAGAGUGGAGGGGAGGCAGGUAGCCUAGUGGUUAGAGUGGAGUGGAGGCAGGUAGCCUAGUGGUUAGAGUGGAGUGGAGGCAGGUAGCCUAGUGGUUAGAGUGGAGGGGAGGCAGGUAGCC
This 349-nucleotide long non-coding RNA is filed under the name Salmo salar (Atlantic salmon). RNAcentral's name for it is "lncRNA (ENSSSAG00000114621.1)". The record is from RNAcentral. Lineage: Eukaryota; Metazoa; Chordata; Actinopteri; Salmoniformes; Salmonidae.